AUUGAACGCUGGCGGCAGGCUUAACACAUGCAAGUCGAGCGGGGUGAUGGUGCUUGCACUAUCACUUAGCGGCGGACGGGUGAGUAAUGCUUAGGAAUCUGCCUAUUAGUGGGGGACAACAUCUCGAAAGGGAUGCUAAUACCGCAUACGUCCUACGGGAGAAAGCAGGGGAUCACUUGUGACCUUGCGCUAAUAGACGAGCCUAAGUCGGAUUAGCUAGUUGGUGGGGUAAAGGCCUACCAAGGCGACGAUCUGUAGCGGGUCUGAGAGGAUGAUCCGCCACACUGGGACUGAGACACGGCCCAGACUCCUACGGGAGGCAGCAGUGGGAAAUAUUGGACAAUGGGGGGAACCCUGAUCCAGCCAUGCCGCGUGUGUGAAGAAGGCCUUAUGGUUGUAAAGCACUUUAAGCGAGGAGGAGGCUCUUUUGGUUAAUGCCCAAGAUGAGUGGACGUUACUCGCAGAAUAAGCACCGGCUAACUCUGUGCCAGCCGCCGCCGUAA
RNAcentral lists this ribosomal RNA (503 nucleotides) under uncultured bacterium. RNAcentral describes it as "partial 16S ribosomal RNA". It matches the Rfam family "Bacterial small subunit ribosomal RNA", at positions 30 to 523 of the family's 1533-position model. The record is from RNAcentral.